GUAAGGGUCUUGCACAGUUUAUGUCAAUAGCUCACAGACUUUAUAUGUAUCUCUGUCACAGGAGGUUGGUGGCACCUUAAUUGGGAGGACCAGCCCGUGGUUAUGCCUGGAGGGGAAUCGGUGGAAUGGUAUCAAACAGAUGGUUUGAUGCCAUUCCAUUUGCUCCGUUCCAGCCAUUAUUAUGAACCGUUCUCCCCUCAGCAGCCUCCACUGAUCUGUGUUUUUUCAGACAAUCAACUGUUUCUUCAUCCUUUACUACCUGCUGGAGAUGGCGCUGAAGGUGGUAGCAUUUGUCUGGACAGGAUAUGUGUCCUAUGGGAGUAACGUAUUUGAUGGAUCUCUCACAGUUCUUUCACUGGGCCUACCGAUAUCCAUAUUUGCUACUUACCGUCUGCCAUUUUCCUAUUGGUAAGAUUUUUCUCCCCACUUUGUUUGGGAUCUUUCAAUAUACUAACUCACUUAGGACAACCCUAAAUACAUCUAUCACAUAUUUUCUCAAAAGGUGGGCUCAUCUGGGAUUUAAACCCAGGACUACUCACACCCUAAGCGAGAAGCAUACCCUUAAACCAACAAGCCUGCUUAGGGAAACCCACCCUAUCGUUAUAAUUUUCCCAUCCCC
RNAcentral lists this transfer RNA (619 nucleotides) under Salmo salar (Atlantic salmon). RNAcentral describes it as "lncRNA (ENSSSAG00000095909.1)". Lineage: Eukaryota; Metazoa; Chordata; Actinopteri; Salmoniformes; Salmonidae. The record is from RNAcentral.